AACGAACGCUGGCGGCAUGCCUAACACAUGCAAGUCGAACGAGACCUUCGGGUCUUGUGGCGCACGGGUGCGUAACGCGUGGGAACCUGCCCUUAGGUUCGGAAUAACUCCCCGAAAGGGGUGCUAAUACCGGAUAAUGUCUUCGGACCAAAGAUUUAUCGCCUUUGGAUGGGCCCGCGUUGGAUUAGCUAGUUGGUAGGGUAAAAGCCUACCAAGGCGACGAUCCAUAGCUGGUCUGAGAGGAAGAUCAGCCACACUGGGACUGAGACACGGCCCAGACUCCUACGGGAGGCAGCAGUGGGGAAUAUUGGACAAUGGGCGAAAGCCUGAUCCAGCAAGGCCGCGUGAGUGAUGAAGGCAUUAGGGUUGUAAAGCUCUUUUACCCGGGAUGAUAAUGACAGUACCGGGAGAAUAAGCUCCGGCUAACUCCGUG
RNAcentral lists this ribosomal RNA (433 nucleotides) under uncultured bacterium. Its description in RNAcentral is "partial 16S ribosomal RNA". It matches the Rfam family "Bacterial small subunit ribosomal RNA", at positions 29 to 507 of the family's 1533-position model. The record is from RNAcentral.